CCCUAUGUAUGCACUGAGUGUGGAAGAGCUUUCAUCCGCAAGUCAAACUUUAUUACUCAUCAAAGAAUUCAUACUGGAGAGAAGCCUUAUGAAUGCAGUGACUGUGGGAAGUCCUUUACCUCCAAGUCUCAGCUCCUGGUGCAUCAGCCAGUUCACACAGGAGAGAAACCCUAUGUGUGUGCCGAGUGCGGGAAGGCCUUU
RNAcentral lists this long non-coding RNA (201 nucleotides) under Homo sapiens (human). RNAcentral's name for it is "non-protein coding lnc-ZNF585B-4:1". Lineage: Eukaryota; Metazoa; Chordata; Mammalia; Primates; Hominidae. The record is from RNAcentral.